CAUCGUCGAUUACAGCAAGCGUUGUGUUAAAUUUGAUUCGUUAAAUUAAUUUCGCAAAACGAAAAUGUGCAUAGGUUCUGGUCAACUGGACGGAGACAAAUGAGACAAGUAUCCUGGACGAUUCAAUAGUUCCAGAGAUAAAAUAAGGUUCGAGGACAACCGAAAGAUUGAGAUGGAGAAUAUGUGGAGACCCAAAGUUAACAAGAACCCUCCAAGAAGAAUGUCUGAAUGGCGUACUGUAUUCAAGUGUUGUCGAUUCUAUUCAUAUAGGUUGCACUAGAUACAUUUUGUCUCAAAGGACUAUUUUGCAUCUUUAAAAAAGCCAACAUGCAAGUAGACUAGUAUGUGCUGCAAUGACAAACAAAACAUAUACAGUAUCUGCAAUAGUUGAAUACCCAGAUAUCCAGUCAGCAGCUGUAAAAACCAAGAUGACUAAAGUAGGUGAAGAUACAAGGCGCUCCAUGUCAAAGGGAAUGGAUACAGCAGCUAAUGUUUAAAAACAGGCGCUUAAUGUGCAGUAAUUUUUUAAAUUUUAAAUUGUAAUUAUCUUUGCUAAAGGUAACAAAGUGUUGUAAUUAAAUUUUAAAAAAAAGUUUAUUUCAUAUCCUACAGAUGAGCUGCAGCAUGCUUUACCAUCUAAGUAACUGUUCGCCUAUAUGCAAUAAGAAGAAUUUAAACAAUUGUAAACUCAUUGCUACAUUAACUUAACAACUAUUAAAAUCCUUGACUAAUUUUAAGCAAAGCAAUACCUUUAGUGUGAAGCAGUUACUGUAUACAUUUGACUAAUGUAUGUUUUUAACUUAAAAAUGUUAUAACACAUACAUAAUUCGUCUGACUAUUAUGCAAAUGAA
This is a long non-coding RNA of Anneissia japonica, 851 nucleotides long. RefSeq lists it as uncharacterized. Lineage: Eukaryota; Metazoa; Echinodermata; Crinoidea; Comatulida; Comatulidae. The transcript has 3 exons. The record is from RefSeq and is a predicted model, not a curated record.